Molecule: ribosomal RNA, 374 nt
Filed under: uncultured bacterium
Lineage: Bacteria
Description: bacterial SSU rRNA
Rfam family: Bacterial small subunit ribosomal RNA
Source: RNAcentral
UCACUCUAGCGAGACUGCCGUUGACAAAACGGAGGAAGGUGGGGACGACGUCAAAUCAUCAUGCCCCUUAUAUCCUGGGCUACACACGUAAUACAAUGGCGGUCAACAGAGGGAAGCAAAGCCGCGAGGCAGAGCAAACCCCCAAAAGCCGUCCCAGUUCGGAUUGUAGGCUGCAACUCGCCUGCAUGAAGUCGGAAUCGCUAGUAAUCGCGGAUCAGCAUGCCGCGGUGAAUACGUUCCCGGGCCUUGUACACACCGCCCGUCACACCAUGAGAGUCGGGAACACCCGAAGUCCGUAGCCUAACCUGAAAAGGAGGGCGCGGCCGAAGGUGGGUUCGAUAAUUGGGGUGAAGUCGUAACAAGGUAACCGAUAA